UUGCAAUAUGAAAUAGAAGCUCGGCACAAACGCACCGUGGGACAGCUGGGCACGUGGGUGGCAACCUUGGGACCCCUAACACCAGCUCCCGCUGGGACGGAACAGGGAAGGCUGUGCUUUGGAGCCGCCAGCCCAGUUCGGUGUCCUCACUCUCUCUCGCUCUCCUCCCUCUCUCUAUAUAAUAUAUAAUAUAUGUUUCUCUCUCUCCAUUCUCUCUAUUUGACUCUCUGUAUCUUUAUUCUAGGAGGCAACGCUCCAAAACUUCUCUUCUCAGUGCAAAUGGGGGUGGGUUGGGCCUGUCUCCCUGGCACCAGCCUCCUGGGGGUCCAGAGGAGAGAAUGUGGGGGUGUCAGGGUGAUGAGGGCAAUGGGGGCCAUCGUGGGACCCGCCCUGCCCCCACCCCGGGAGAUCCACGGG
RNAcentral lists this long non-coding RNA (417 nucleotides) under Homo sapiens (human). RNAcentral describes it as "HSALNT0262453". The record is from RNAcentral. Lineage: Eukaryota; Metazoa; Chordata; Mammalia; Primates; Hominidae.